Molecule: long non-coding RNA, 328 nt
Filed under: Lingula anatina
Lineage: Eukaryota; Metazoa; Brachiopoda; Lingulata; Lingulida; Lingulidae
Description: uncharacterized LOC106178599
Source: RNAcentral
CAUGCCUUUACCAAAAUGGAGGUUGUAGUCAUUUCUGUGUAGCUGACAAUAAGGGGAAAAUAUCCUGUGGGUGCCCGGCAAAUCUGGUGUUAGCGGAAGAUAAAGAAACGUGCAUCAGCACAUGCCGCAUCAACAAUGGCGGAUGCAGUCAUAACUGUACUGAUAGUAACACUGGCGCCAUCUGCAGUUGUCCCGUCAGUUGGGAACUGGGGAAUGAUAAACUUACUUGUGACCAGGACGCCAAUGAGUGUAAAAGAAACCCUUGCUCGCAGCACGCGACGUGCAUCAACACGCGUGGCUCCUUUGAAUGCGUGUGCAACGUGGGAUA